AGCCCGAUAGUCUAGCGGUCAAACAAUUUUGGAUCAGGGAUCUCAGGCUCUGGACCUGGGGACGGCAGUUCGAAUCUGCCUCGGGCUA
RNAcentral lists this transfer RNA (88 nucleotides) under Nitrosotalea sp. Its description in RNAcentral is "Candidatus Nitrosotalea sp. tRNA-Gln". It matches the Rfam family "tRNA". Rfam says of the family: Transfer RNA (tRNA) molecules are approximately 80 nucleotides in length. Lineage: Archaea; Thermoproteati; Nitrososphaerota; Nitrososphaeria; Nitrosotaleales; Nitrosotaleaceae. The record is from RNAcentral.